RNAcentral lists this ribosomal RNA (373 nucleotides) under uncultured bacterium. Its description in RNAcentral is "bacterial SSU rRNA". It matches the Rfam family "Bacterial small subunit ribosomal RNA", at positions 527 to 896 of the family's 1533-position model. The record is from RNAcentral.
GUAGGGGCCAAGCGUUGUCCAGAAUCAUUGGGCGUAAAGAGCUCGUAGGCGGUUCGGUAAGUCGGGUGUGAAAUCUCCACGCUCAACGUGGAGGGGCCACUCGAUACUGCCGUGACUAGAGUCCAGUAGGGGAGUGUGGAAUUCCCGGUGUAGCGGUGAAAUGCGCAGAUAUCGGGAGGAACACCAGCGGCGAAGGCGGCACUCUGGGCUGGUACUGACGCUGAGGAGCGAAAACGUGGGGAGCGAACAGGAUUAGAUACCCUGGUAGUCCACGCCGUAAACGUUGGGCACUAGGUGUGGGGGUCUAUCGACGACCUCUGUGCCGAAGCUAACGCAUUAAGUGCCCCGCCUGGGGAGUACGGCCGCAAGGCUA